Molecule: transfer RNA, 72 nt
Organism: Camelus ferus (Wild Bactrian camel)
Lineage: Eukaryota; Metazoa; Chordata; Mammalia; Artiodactyla; Camelidae
Rfam family: tRNA
About the family: Transfer RNA (tRNA) molecules are approximately 80 nucleotides in length.
Source: Rfam
GUGGGUAGAGCUCAGUAGUAGAGCACGUGCUUAGUAUGCACAAUGUCCUGGGUUCAAUCCCCAGUGCCUCCA